UGGUAGCAGUUGGAUUUCGUAUUUCUUUGGUAGGAUGUUGGGCCAACAAUACUACCAAGGAAAUAGAUAUCCAGCCGCUACUGUC
RNAcentral lists this microRNA precursor (85 nucleotides) under Medicago truncatula (barrel medic). RNAcentral's name for it is "miR5212 stem-loop (mtr-MIR5212)". Lineage: Eukaryota; Viridiplantae; Streptophyta; Magnoliopsida; Fabales; Fabaceae. The record is from miRBase by way of RNAcentral.